CCUUUGAUAGCGAAGACAAUAUCUAAUGCUGUGUAUAUAAAGCUUCAAAAAUAUUGGUUAAAUCAAUUGCCAGAGACAGAAAUGGGAAAGUUCCAGUUGUCCAGCAUGUAAUUUGGAGAAAAAAAAAGAACACGCUGUCUUCAGGAUAGGUCCUUGACAACUAUUUUUUGAAGAGCUAUGGGCCAGGAUCUGAGCUGGGAUUUUUAAUCUGUAUUCUCAAUAUGCAUGGAAUAUAUGUGUCAGAAUCUAGCCAUUAUGCAGGAAGACCACUGCUGGACUUGAGAAAAAUUUCCACAAUGCACUAUUUUCAAUUAUGGACAUAUUAGAAAAGAGUAUUCUACAUUUUGUGCCACAUUUUCUGAAUCCAGUCUAUCAUUGUUGGAGAUUUGGGUUGGUUACAAGUCUUUGCUAUUGUGAAUAGUGCCGCAAUAAACAUACAUGUGCAUGUGAAAA
Molecule: long non-coding RNA, 453 nt
Organism: Homo sapiens (human)
Lineage: Eukaryota; Metazoa; Chordata; Mammalia; Primates; Hominidae
Exons: 2
Source: RefSeq, a predicted model, not a curated record